AUGGCCGGCAGCGACGAGGUCAACCGCAACGCGUGCAAGACGGUGGUGCCGCUCCACACAUGGGUGCUCAUCUCCAACUUCAAGGUGUCGUACCACAUGCUCCGCCGCCCCGACGGCACCUUCGAGCGCGACCUCGCCGAGUACAUGGACCGCCGGGUGCCCGCCAACCCGAAGCCGGUCGAGGGCGUCUCCUCCUUCGACCACGUCAUCGACCCGUCCGUCGGCCUCGAGGCGCGCAUCUACCGCGCCGUCGCCGGCAACGCCGCGGCCGCCGAGGGCGCCGCCGCGCUCACCCUGCCCAUCCUCGAGUUCCUCGGCGGGGCGCCGUCCCCGGACCCGCUCCCGGUGAUCAUCUUCUUCCACGGCGGCAGCUUCGCGCACUCGGCGUCCAGCACCACCAUCUACGACAACCUCUGCCGCCAGUUCGUGAAGCUGAGCAAGGGCGUGGUGGUGUCCGUCAACUACCGGCGCGCCCCGGAGCACCGGUACCCGUGCGCGUACGACGACGGGUGGGCCGCGCUCAAGUGGGCCCAAGCCCAGCCGUUCCUGCGGAGCGGCGAGGGCGCGCGGCUCCGCGUGUUCCUCGCCGGCGACAGCUCCGGCGGCAACAUCGCGCACCACGUGGCCGUUCGCGCCGCGGAGGAGGGGAUCAAGAUACACGGCAACAUCCUGCUCAACGCCAUGUUCGGCGGCAACGAGCGCACCGAGUCGGAGCGGCGCCUGGACGGCAAGUACUUCGUCACGCUCCAGGACAGGGACUGGUACUGGAAGGCGUACCUGCCGGAGGACGCGGACCGGGACCACCCGGCGUGCAACCCGUUCGGGCCGAACGGGCGGCGGCUCAAGGGCCUGCCCUUCGCCAAGAGCCUCAUCAUCGUGUCGGGGCUGGACCUCACCUGCGACCGGCAGCUGGGCUACGCCGAGGGCCUCCGGGAGGACGGCCACGACGUGAAGCUGGUGCACCGCGAGAAGGCCACCAUCGGCUUCUACCUGCUGUCCAACACGGACCACUACCACGAGGUGAUGGAGGAGAUCGCCGAGUUCGUCCGAGCUAACCUCCUGUAG
This 1065-nucleotide ribosomal RNA is filed under the name Triticum aestivum (bread wheat). RNAcentral's name for it is "partial small subunit ribosomal RNA". The record is from RNAcentral. Lineage: Eukaryota; Viridiplantae; Streptophyta; Magnoliopsida; Poales; Poaceae.